CUGGGCUCGAACGGCUGGUCAACGAUCGUGGAAACACGGUUACUCCGCAAGGGGGUCCAGUCGAGGUGCUGCAUGGCUGUCGUCAGCUCGUGUCGUGAGAUGUUGGGUUAAGUCCCGCAACGAGCGCAACCCUCGUCCUGUGUUGCCAUCAUUCAGUUGGGAACUCGCAGGAGACCGCCAGCGAUAAGCUGGAGGAAGGUGGGGAUGACGUCAAGUCCUCAUGGCCUUUAUGUCCAGGGCUACACACGUGCUACAAUGGCCGGUACAAUGCGCUGCUAAGUCGCAAGACGGAGCCAAUCGCAAAAAACCGGUCUCAGUUCGGAUUGCAGGCUGCAACUCGCCUGCAUGAAGCUGGAAUCGCUAGUAAUGGCAUAUCAGAACGAUGCCGUGAAUACGUUCCCGGGUCUUGUACACACGCA
Molecule: ribosomal RNA, 419 nt
Filed under: uncultured bacterium
Lineage: Bacteria
Description: bacterial SSU rRNA
Rfam family: Bacterial small subunit ribosomal RNA
Source: RNAcentral